Molecule: ribosomal RNA, 1503 nt
Filed under: uncultured bacterium
Lineage: Bacteria
Description: bacterial SSU rRNA
Rfam family: Bacterial small subunit ribosomal RNA
Source: RNAcentral
GAUGAACGCUGGCGGCGUGCCUAAUACAUGCAAGUCGAGCGAACUGAUAAGGAGCUUGCUCCUUUGACGUUAGCGGCGGACGGGUGAGUAACACGUGGGUAACCUACCUAUAAGACUGGGAUAACUUCGGGAAACCGGAGCUAAUACCGGAUAAUAUUUCGAACCGCAUGGUUCGAUAGUGAAAGAUGGCCCUGCUAUCACUUAUAGAUGGACCUGCGCCGUAUUAGCUAGUUGGUAAGGUAACGGCUUACCAAGGCAACGAUACGUAGCCGACCUGAGAGGGUGAUCGGCCACACUGGAACUGAGACACGGUCCAGACUCCUACGGGAGGCAGCAGUAGGGAAUCUUCCGCAAUGGGCGAAAGCCUGACGGAGCAACGCCGCGUGAGUGAUGAAGGUCUUCGGAUCGUAAAACUCUGUUAUUAGGGAAGAACAAACGUGUAAGUAACUGUGCACGUCUUGACGGUACCUAAUCAGAAAGCCACGGCUAACUACGUGCCAGCAUCCGCGGUAAUACGUAGGUGGCAAGCGUUAUCCGGAAUUAUUGGGCGUAAAGCGCGCGUAGGCGGUUUUUUAAGUCUGAUGUGAAAGCCCACGGCUCAACCGUGGAGGGUCAUUGGAAACUGGAAAACUUGAGUGCAGAAGAGGAAAGUGGAAUUCCAUGUGUAGCGGUGAAAUGCGCAGAGAUAUGGAGGAACACCAGUGGCGAAGGCGACUUUCUGGUCUGUAACUGACGCUGAUGUGCGAAAGCGUGGGGAUCAAACAGGAUUAGAUGCCCUGGUAGUCCACGCCGUAAACGAUGAGUGCUAAGUGUUAGGGGGUUUCCGCCCCUUAGUGCUGCAGCUAACGCAUUAAGCACUCCGCCUGGGGAGUACGACCGCAAGGUUGAAACUCAAAGGAAUUGACGGGGACCCGCACAAGCGGUGGAGCAUGUGGUUUAAUUCGAAGCAACGCGAAGAACCUUACCAAAUCUUGACAUCCUUUGACCCUUCUAGAGAUAGAAGUUUCCCCUUCGGGGGACAAAGUGACAGGUGGUGCAUGGUUGUCGUCAGCUCGUGUCGUGAGAUGUUGGGUUAAGUCCCGCAACGAGCGCAACCCUUAAGCUUAGUUGCCAUCAUUAAGUUGGGCACUCUAAGUUGACUGCCGGUGACAAACCGGAGGAAGGUGGGGAUGACGUCAAAUCAUCAUGCCCCUUAUGAUUUGGGCUACACACGUGCUACAAUGGACAAUACAAAGGGCAGCGAAACCGCGAGGUCAAGCAAAUCCCAUAAAGUUGUUCUCAGUUCGGAUUGUAGUCUGCAACUCGACUACAUGAAGCUGGAAUCGCUAGUAAUCGUAGAUCAGCAUGCUACGGUGAAUACGUUCCCGGGUCUUGUACACACCGCCCGUCACACCACGAGAGUUUGUAACACCCGAAGCCGGUGGAGUAACCAUUUGGAGCUAGCCGUCGAAGGUGGGACAAAUGAUUGGGGUGAAGUCGUAACAAGGUAGCCGUAUCGGAAGG